GAUGAACGCUGGCGGCGUGCCUAAUACAUGCAAGUCGAGCGAACAGACGAGGAGCUUGCGCCUCUGACGUUAGCGGCGGACGGGUGAGUAACACGUGGAUCACCAUCUUCUAAGUCUGGGAGAAUAACGGAAAACCAGAGAUGCUACCGGCUCAUAUGAUGUACGGCAUGGAUCAAUAGUGCAUGACGGUUUUCGUGACAGUUUUAGAUGGUUUCGCGCCGGAUUAGCUAGUUGGUAAGGUAACGGCAUACCAAGGCAACGAUGCGUAGCUGACCUGAGAGGGUGAUCGGCCACACUGGAACUGAGACACGGUCCAGACUCCUACGGGAGGCAGCAGUGGGGAAUCUUGCGCAAUGGGCGAAAGCCUGACCGAGCAACGCCGCGUGAGUGAUGAAGGUCUUCGGAUUGUAAAACUCUGUUAUUAGGGAAGAACAAAAGUGGAAGUAACUACGCCCGUCUUGACGGUACCUAAAGAGAAAGCCACGGCUAACUACGUG
Molecule: ribosomal RNA, 497 nt
Filed under: uncultured bacterium
Lineage: Bacteria
Description: partial 16S ribosomal RNA
Rfam family: Bacterial small subunit ribosomal RNA
Source: RNAcentral